Molecule: ribosomal RNA, 366 nt
Filed under: uncultured organism
Description: bacterial LSU rRNA
Rfam family: Bacterial large subunit ribosomal RNA
Source: RNAcentral
CUUUACUGCAACUUGACGUUGGAACUUGGCUGUAUUUGUGUAGGAUAGGUGGGAGACUUUGAAGCAGGGCCGCCAGGUCUUGCGGAGUCGUCGUUGAGAUACCACCCUGGUGCUGACGAGUUUCUAACCGUGUCCGUAAGCCGGACAUGAGACAGCGUCUGGUGGGCAGUUUGACUGGGGCGGUCGCCUCCUAAAAGGUAACGGAGGCAUUCAAAGGUCCCCUCAGCGUGGUCGGUAAUCACGCGCAGAGUGCAAACGCAUAAGGGGGCUUAACUGCGAGACCGACAGGUCGAGCAGGUACGAAAGUAGGAGUUAGUGAUCCCGCGGUUUAGCGUGGAAUUGCCGUUGCUCAAUGGAUAAAAGGUA